UUUCUUCUUGUUUUCCCACUCUCUUAUCUUCAGUGCGUCCAAUUCUCGAAAAUGGAAUGGCUAUUUUCCCCUCUUCUUUUGAUGAAAAAUCUGUAAAUUCAAUAUUAGUUUUUGUGAUUUGUCGCUGUUCAGUGCGUCAUGUCGACUUCCUUCUCCAAAAUAUACAAACAUACAUACAUGCCCCCCCUUAUUCAUUAGCAAAUGGUACCAAUUAUUUUUCUCCUCUCCAUUUCCAUUUUUAGGGAUUCAGUUCCACUGCUUUGUUGAGUCAAUUUUCUGAUUUCUGACUUGUGAAUUCCUUGUACGAUUCUUGGUAUAUGAUUUUUAUUUUAUUGCGCGUAGAAAUUUGAGGUUGUUGGAAUUUCUACUUGGUGUUGUUUUUUACUCUUCUUUUGAUGAAAAAUGUGUUAAUUUAAUAAUAGAUUUGGUGAUUUGUUACUGAAAUUUUACCCGUAUGUCAAUAAAUUUGAUCUGUUUCACUCUUGCAUGCUCGAAAACAGCAAAUAGACAGUCGCGGCUGGUGAAUGCCAAUCCAAAUUUUUCUAGCACUGAAACCAUUUUAGUGAGAAAGACCUUCCAUCAUUGUCGUUCUGAUGGGUUAAAUUGCCUUUGCUUCAUCAACUAAUUAAUUCUUUGUUUUAGUUUUUUGAAUGUUAUAUUAUGUGCGUAACAAAUAUUUGGAACAGAAAAUGUCCACAAACAAAGAUAUUGCGGCGCGUAAAGCUCAAGAGAUUAAGGAACAACGAUGAGCUGAUAGAAAUUUGAGACGCCGCACCAGAUAUGCACAAAUGUCACAACAUCCUUUUUGUCACAAUUGUGAGCUAAAAGAGCUGAAUUAAAAAAGCAAAGACUUAGUUAUCAUUCAACUAAUACAUUAUCCUCGACGGAAGUUGCUACUCAAACUCAAAGACAACCUGGUCUUAUAAUUGCUGAUUCUCCGUUAACUUCUGAAGAAGGUAAUGCUUCUCGAGCUACAAAUGUGCCAAAUACUGUCGAUAAAGAGAAUAAUAUGAUUAGUUGCCUCUCCGUCUUUGAAGUUGGAUCAACAUCAGGUAGCGGUCCGUCUUGCAUUAAUGCAACAAAUUUACCAACUGCAACAGCUACUGCAAAUAGAUCAAAUACUGUCGAUAAAGAGAAUAAUAUGAUUAGUUGCGUCUCCAUCUUUGAAGUUGUUGUUGCAAUAUUAGGAUCAACAUCAGGUAGCGAUCCGUCCAGCAUUAAUGCAACAAAUUUACCAACCCCAACGGCUACUGCAAAUAGAGGUACAUCCACAUAAGCCUGUUGAAGUUGAGAAUAAUGAUAGACGUGGUAAUGAUGGUGAUGGUGAUUCUGAUGAUUUCGUUGUUGUUAGUGAAAAGGAUCAGAUCUCCUGUAAGAUGCCAAACAACAUCCCAGUAACAGCUAUUUUCCCCUGAAAGAUGUGGAAGACAAUCAGUUGGGAAUCUUUGACAGACCUCUUCCUUGCUUUGGUUGUCGAAUAGGAUGGUUUUCGUGAGUUUCGCAUUCUUGCUCCUCUUGUCAUUCUCUGUACUUUGGGAAUUACUACCAUAAACAUCCGAGGGAGCGGGCAGGGCUAGCUGCCAAUGCAAUAGCUAUAUGAGAAGAGGCAUUCAAAUAUUCCAGCUCCAUGUUAUUAUUGGACAGUGCAGGCCUUUAUCCAUUCAAGGUGCUUCCAGCCGGUUCUUCUGCAGUCUGCCAUCAGGUAGAUGCAGGAAAAUUGGACAUUGAAAUGUAGGCCAUGCUAAAGGAACAGUUGAUAAGGUCUUCUCUUUGAUCAAGGUCAACAAAACAUGGCGAUAUCUACUAGAAAUUCUGAGAGUUUUGAAGCAUGAACUUGAAAAUCUUAAUCCCGGCGAACCCACUUUUUGUGGCCAACAUGUGAAUUCUGCCUGAGAUUGGCUAUGGAAAGCUAAAGAUUUCACAGUAGAAGGUUACAACAUCAUAUGAUCGAACUAAUUUUGAAGCUGCUUAUCACUUGGCUCAACUUGCUUAUCCCUUAUACAGGGCAUCUGAAGACUCGAUAUAUGCAGUGGCAUAUACUGUUUUGAUUCUUGCAUUUGGUUUUGUGAACUUCUCAACAAAUAUAUGAGAAGAAGACUGUAUAUAUUAUAAACAAUCUUAUCUUAAGAAUUGAAGAUCCUGAAUGAUCCUUAGUUCUUUAUCUUAUAUUUGGAAGUUUAGUA
Molecule: long non-coding RNA, 2183 nt
Organism: Lycium barbarum (goji berry)
Lineage: Eukaryota; Viridiplantae; Streptophyta; Magnoliopsida; Solanales; Solanaceae
Exons: 10
Source: RefSeq, a predicted model, not a curated record